UGUAUUACAUUCGAGGGUGGUGCAGUAUUCUAGUCAGUCUACCAUCUCUGAAGGCGGGCCUAAAAAUUCGCUAAAGGGCACAUCGAUGAAGUUCCUGGUGUUGGCUUCUGACGCCCAGUCGGGGGCUGAUGCUGGGAGUUAAGGUUGUGGGGCGAUCCACAAUGGCAUGUGGGCGUUGACCCCGCUUCCGCGGAGGCCCAAGUGCGUGGCUUUUGCGCCACCGUGCGCUCGGCUACGGCUUGGGGUAUGAACCUGCAUUGCGAGUCUCACCUGCCCAUUAUUCGUACUUAGCGAAGAGCUGGAGUCUAAAACGACUUGUUUGCAGCGUAGCCUGCCUUGAGUGAGCCAGAGGGGAUUAUAGAUGGUAGGAGCUCGUUUCUUAGGCCAAAGAGACGUUCGCCGGAUGCUAUUUGAAAUCUGUUUUGCAAAAGAGGCUAAGGGAUGAGUUUCAGGGCUGCAGAGGAAAUCUCCUAGACUGUUUGCCGCAAGGCAAGGCUUCCUGGGGAUUAUAGUGUGGACUGAGUGGUAAUCCAGUCUGACGUUGGGUGACUGCGUCAAGCGGAGCAUAAAGGGAAACCGCCUGUUCGGCGACGAAGGGGUGUCUCUGUUGGGAAAACCUACUGGACCUAAGCCACAGCGUUUACUCAGGAAGCCACCACUCGAUUUUGUAUUUUA
Molecule: small RNA, 675 nt
Filed under: Paenibacillus swuensis
Lineage: Bacteria; Bacillati; Bacillota; Bacilli; Caryophanales; Paenibacillaceae
Source: RNAcentral